Molecule: ribosomal RNA, 421 nt
Filed under: Verrucomicrobiota bacterium
Lineage: Bacteria; Pseudomonadati; Verrucomicrobiota
Description: Verrucomicrobia bacterium partial 16S ribosomal RNA
Rfam family: Bacterial small subunit ribosomal RNA
Source: RNAcentral
UGGGGAAUAUUGCACAAUGGACGAAAGUUUGAUGCAGCGACGCCGCGUGGAGGGUGUAGGCCUUCGGGUUGUGAACUCCUUUUUCUCGCGAAAAAGGCACAGUUUUGGCUGUGUUGAUGGUAGUGGGGGAAGAAGCGCCGGCUAACUACGUGCCAGCAGCCGCGGUAAUACGUAGGGCGCGAGCGUUGUCCGGAUUUAUUGGGCGUAAAGAGCUCGUAGGUGGUUCGUCGCGUCUGCCGUGAAAGCCAACAGCUUAACUGUUGGUCUGCGGUGGGUAGGGGCGGGCUUGAGUGCGUUAGGGGUGACUGGAAUUCCUGGUGUAGCGGUGGAAUGCGCAGAUAUCAGGAGGAACACCGAUGGCGAAGGCAGGUCACUGGGCCGUUACUGACACUGCGGCGCGAAAGCGUGGAGAGCGAACAGG